AAGAAGACCAAACCCUAACUUCACAAAUUCUCCAAAAUCAGAAGGAAAUUUAGAGUUCUAGUGGAUGCAUGAACCCUAAUUCGAGUAAUCUAAGCUUGUUCAACCCUUGGCGUUAAGGAAGAAAGUUCGAGUCAAGUGAAGCAACAAGAGAAUCAAGACCGAGGUAAAUCUCAUGUCUAGCUAUCAAGCUUUGCCCGGUUCGAACACGCCUCAAGCCCGUCAAGCGUUCCGCAUUUUGUAAAAGUCAAUGUUUAAUACUUUGUCACUUAUGUCUAUGUCUAGUAGUUAAACCUAGU
Molecule: long non-coding RNA, 296 nt
Organism: Helianthus annuus (common sunflower)
Lineage: Eukaryota; Viridiplantae; Streptophyta; Magnoliopsida; Asterales; Asteraceae
Exons: 3
Source: RefSeq, a predicted model, not a curated record